UGCGUAGGCGGUUUGGUAAGUCUUGUGUGAAAUCUACAGGCUCAACUUGUAGUCUGCACGAGAAACUGCCGGGCUUGAGUGUGGGAGAGGUGAGUGGAAUUUCCGGUGUAGCGGUGAAAUGCGUAGAUAUCGGAAGGAACACCUGUGGCGAAAGCGGCUCACUGGACCACAACCUGACGCUGAUGCACGAAAGCUAGGGGAGCAAACAGGAUUAGAUACCCUGGUAGUCCUAGCCCUAAACGAUGACUGCUUGGUGUGACGGGUACCCAAUCCCGCCGUGCCGUAGCUAACGCGUUAAGCAGUCCGCCUGGGGAGUACGGUCGCAAGGCUGAA
This 333-nucleotide ribosomal RNA is filed under the name uncultured bacterium. RNAcentral describes it as "bacterial SSU rRNA". It matches the Rfam family "Bacterial small subunit ribosomal RNA", at positions 568 to 898 of the family's 1533-position model. The record is from RNAcentral.